This 299-nucleotide ribosomal RNA is filed under the name uncultured bacterium. RNAcentral describes it as "partial 16S ribosomal RNA". It matches the Rfam family "Bacterial small subunit ribosomal RNA", at positions 333 to 629 of the family's 1533-position model. The record is from RNAcentral.
UGAAUCCUACGGGGGGCAGCAGUGAGGAAUAUUGGUCAAUGGGCGCGAGCCUGAACCAGCCAAGUAGCGUGAAGGAUGACUGCCCUACGGGUUGUAAACUUCUUUUAUAAAGGAAUAAAGUGAGGCACGUGUGCCUUUUUGUAUGUACUUUAUGAAUAAGGAUCGGCUAACUCCGUGCCAGCAGCCGCGGUAAUACGGAGGAUCCGAGCGUUAUCCGGAUUUAUUGGGUUUAAAGGGAGCGUAGAUGGGUUGUUAAGUCAGUUGUGAAAGUUUGCGGGUUAAGCGUAAAAUUGUAAUUG